Molecule: unclassified non-coding RNA, 140 nt
Filed under: uncultured fungus
Lineage: Eukaryota; Fungi
Description: sequence contains ITS1, 5.8S rRNA gene
Source: RNAcentral
CCGAGAUAGGGUCCUCCGGGGCCCGACCUCCCAUCCUGUGUCUACUUGACCUCUGUUGCCUCGGCGGUCUCGCCCGUCGAGGACUUUAUCAAACUCUUGUUAAAUUGUGUCAGUCUGAGCGUGAAAAUAAAAUAAGCACA